AAAGUCGUAACAAGGUUUCCGUAGGUGAACCUGCGGAAGGAUCAUUACUGAAUGAACCAUGCCCCUUUUUGUGGUAGACCGCCUGCAUGGCGCCCUUCGAUGUCAGACACCGGCGGGGCCAUUUCAGAGUGUCUACCAUGCCCUUCACCAAACAAACCUGUCGUUGUACGUGUACGAUGUUAAAGAACAUAAAUAUAAAUAUAACUUUCAACAACGGAUCUCUUGGCUCUC
Molecule: unclassified non-coding RNA, 231 nt
Filed under: Basidiomycota sp.
Lineage: Eukaryota; Fungi; Basidiomycota
Description: partial contains small subunit ribosomal RNA, internal transcribed spacer 1, and 5.8S ribosomal RNA
Rfam family: Eukaryotic small subunit ribosomal RNA (bases 1-47)
Source: RNAcentral